CACCUACGGGUGGCAGCAGUGGGGAAUAUUGCGCAAUGGGCGAAAGCCUGACGCAGCAACGCCGUGUGAGGGAUGAAGGCUUUCGGGUCGUAAACCUCUGUCGGAAGGGAAGAACGGGUGAGGGUCUAAUAGGCCUUCAUUUUGACGGUACCUUUAGAGGAAGCACCGGCUAACUCCGUGCCAGCAGCCGCGGUAAUACGGAGGGUGCAAGCGUUAUUCGGAAUUACUGGGCGUAAAGCGCACGUAGGCCGCUUUGUAAGUCAGGGGUGAAAUCCCACGGCUCAACCGUGGAACUGCCCUUGAAACUGCAGAGCUUGAAUCCUGGAGAGGGUGGCGGAAUUCCUGGUGUAGGAGUGAAAUCCGUAGAUAUCAGGAGGAACACCGGUGGCGAAGGCGGCCACCUGGACAGGCAUUGACGCUGAGGUGCGAAAGUGUGGGGAGCAAACAGGAUUAGAUACCCUGGUAGUCCACACCGUAAACGAUGGAUACUAGGUGUCGGGGACUUGAUCUUCGGUGCCGUAGCUAACGCGUUAAGUAUCCCGCCUGGGGAGUACGGUCGCAAGGCUGAAACUCAAAGAAAUUGACGGGGGCCCGCACAAGCGGUGGAGUAUGUGGUUUAAUUCGAUGCA
This 629-nucleotide ribosomal RNA is filed under the name uncultured bacterium. Its description in RNAcentral is "bacterial SSU rRNA". It matches the Rfam family "Bacterial small subunit ribosomal RNA", at positions 335 to 958 of the family's 1533-position model. The record is from RNAcentral.